UCCUACCUUUCACCACUCCUCACCUCC
Molecule: non-coding RNA, 27 nt
Filed under: Mus musculus (house mouse)
Lineage: Eukaryota; Metazoa; Chordata; Mammalia; Rodentia; Muridae
Source: RNAcentral